UCGAUUAGUUUGAUCAUGGCUCAGAAUCAACGCUGGCGGCGUGCCUCAGUCAUGCAAGUCGAACGCGAAAGUCCCCUUCGGGGGGCAAGUAGAGUGGCGCACGGGUGAGUAACACGUAGGUAAUCUACCUUCGGAUGGGGAAUAACAAUCGGAAACGGUUGCUAAUACCGCAUAAUGCAGCGGCACCUAAUGGUGACAGUUGUUAAAGCGGGGGAUCGAAAGACCUCGCGUCUGAGGAGGAGCCUGCGGCGGAUUAGCUAGUUGGUAAGGUAAUGGCUUACCAAGGCAACGAUCCGUAACCGGCCUGAGAGGGCGGUCGGUCACACUGACACUGACAUACGGGUCAGACUCCUACGGGAGGCAGCAGUCGGGAAUUUUGGGCAAUGGGCGAAAGCCUGACCCAGCAACGCCGCGUGAAGGAUGAAAUCCCUCGGGAUGUAAACUUCGCAAGAACGGGAAGAAUAAGUAGGGGACAAUACCCCCUAUGAUGACGGUACCGUUUGUAAGCUCCGGCUAACUCCGUGCCAGCAGCCGCGGUAAUACGGGGGGAGCAAGCGUUGUUCGGAUUUACUGGGCGUAAAGGGCGCGUAGGCGGCCAGCACAAGUCAGUUGUGAAAUCUCCGAGCUUAACUCGGAAAGGUCAACUGAUACUGUGCGGCUAGAGUGCGGAAGGGGCAACUGGAAUUCUUGGUGUAGCGGUGAAAUGCGUAGAUAUCAAGAGGAACACCUGCGGCGAAGG
This 739-nucleotide ribosomal RNA is filed under the name uncultured bacterium. RNAcentral's name for it is "bacterial SSU rRNA". It matches the Rfam family "Bacterial small subunit ribosomal RNA", at positions 1 to 721 of the family's 1533-position model. The record is from RNAcentral.